AUUCAAACUCGGAGAAGAAAACUACUGAGGUGCUCUGGGCUUUUCUUCAGCUCCAUGAUAAUGAACACACACCUACCAGACCAGCAGACUGUGCUGCUCCUGCCUGGCCUCACUCCUGGAGAUGGCUCAGUGCGUCGGAUCCAGGUCUGACCUGAGCUAUGAUUAUGUGACAGUUCAAGUUAUGCUACAUUGAUUGUUUCUUCCCCAGAGACUAGAAGAGUUAAUCUACUUCAGCGGUGACUUGAUCAGCACUUAAAUCUUAAGGAAAAAAAAACAAAAAUGAGAAUAAAGGAUACGGGAUAGGGAACUUCUCCUUAGAUUAAGUCACUAAAUGUCAGAUCUAUGUAAAGGCUUUGUCUGGUGUAAAUCAAGAUAAAAACAGUAUGAAAUUUCUUGCAUGCUAUCUGCUUUGAAUUUAUUUAGCUCUUGCUGUUACCCAAAGCUAAUAAUCCUGGACAGUCUGAGUGCCUGGAGUGUGUUGGUCUGUUGCUGAAUCCAGCUGGAUGUCACUCUGGAAGGGUAACCUGCACUCUAAUGAGCCCCACUCAGCCAGUGGACACCACGUGCACUCAGCAUCACAUGGCAUGACCCAGGAUUUAGACAGCUGUUGUACAUCACUGCCUGAAAUGCAGGGAGAAGUUUUAUUUCAGCUCCUCAUUAUUUUAAAGCAACCUGCAAAAAUUAUCACUGGAAAAAAUAGCCAAGGUGCAGCGCUGUCUCUGAGAGCUCUGCACACCUGUGGAUCCGUCUGCAGGCACUGUGCGGUGUGGGCACCAGGUGAGGUGACCCACAGCCAUGGGUGCUUUGAUUGGAGAAUGGGAUGU
RNAcentral lists this long non-coding RNA (824 nucleotides) under Coturnix japonica (Japanese quail). RNAcentral's name for it is "lncRNA (ENSCJPG00005020890.1)". Lineage: Eukaryota; Metazoa; Chordata; Aves; Galliformes; Phasianidae. The record is from RNAcentral.